This 253-nucleotide ribosomal RNA is filed under the name uncultured bacterium. RNAcentral's name for it is "partial 16S ribosomal RNA". It matches the Rfam family "Bacterial small subunit ribosomal RNA", at positions 524 to 776 of the family's 1533-position model. The record is from RNAcentral.
UACGAAGGGGGCUAGCGUUGCUCGGAAUUACUGGGCGUAAAGGGCGCGUAGGCGGCACUGUUAGUCAGGCGUGAAAGUCCUGGGCUCAACCUGGGAACUGCGCUUGAUACGGCAGAGCUAGAGGAUGGAAGAGGAUCGCGGAAUUCCCAGUGUAGAGGUGAAAUUCGUAGAUAUUGGGAAGAACACCGGUGGCGAAGGCGGCGACCUGGUCCAUUACUGACGCUGAGGCGCGACAGCGUGGGGAGCAAACAGG